UACGGAGGGGACUAGCGUUGUUCGGAAUUACUGGGCGUAAAGAGUACGUAGGCGGUAACGCAAGUUGGGUGUGAAAGCCCGGGGCUCAACCCCGGAACUGCAUUCAAAACUGUGUUGCUAGAGAUCGGAAGAGGUAAGUGGAAUUCCCAGUGUAGAGGUGAAAUUCGUAGAUAUUGGGAAGAACACCGGUGGCGAAGGCG
Molecule: ribosomal RNA, 200 nt
Filed under: uncultured bacterium
Lineage: Bacteria
Description: partial 16S ribosomal RNA
Rfam family: Bacterial small subunit ribosomal RNA
Source: RNAcentral